CUUGACCAGUCUGGCACAGCUGCUGGGAGUUGCCAAGCCCGGCCGAGGCAUAGGCCCUUUGUCUGUGGGGCCAGUCAAGUGGAAAAUGGCCACUACAGAGCCCACUUCAGAGAGCCGUCACCCUUUGAAGGGGAUUGAUGGCCUUUGACAGCCACAGUGUUAACAUGGAGCACAUAGGAACACAGCACGGCUAUUAUUGUGUUUACCAGUGCAGGGGGAGAAAAGAGAGGAUAAAGGGGAGACCCCCUUGGUUGAUAUUUGCAGCCAACAGAGACAAGGGGCUUGUCUUACGGACAAGCAUCACAGACCGAUGACAUAUGAUAACUGACAGCCAGGUAUAGCUGUAUAUCAUAUUUGCAUAAUAUCUGCUGCUCCAUUGGUACUGUAAACAAACCACUCGUCUGCUGAAUAAUAUGUCCUCAACCAGGCCAUCAUAGUAAUAUUAGGGACAGUUCGAAAACAAAUGCACCGCCCCUUCCCAAGGUAAAAAAUAUCUUCACAUGACCCCCCCCACCCCGCACUGUAAAUGAAAUGAAAUGUGCACCCCCCCUUGUUGAAUUAGCUCAAAAUAAUGUUUACGACCACAAAUAACAAUAACUGUACCAACCUUGUGUUUAUAAAUGUGGAUAUCGACUUUUCCACUUCAGCAUGUUUUUGUAGUGGCACAAUUGAUGCCACACAGGGUUACGGGCCAGAAGGUUGAUGGUUCUUCGACCACUCACUCUCUCUGCCUGUGUCAUUACACUACGAUCAAAGCCGGCUGCAGACAAUGAUUUUCAACAUUUUGAUGGUAUAUUUAUAAUUACAGUGAGCUCCAAAAGUAUUGUUGUUUUGGCUCUGUAAUCUAGAGCUUUGGAUUUGAAUGAUACAAUGACUAUGAGUUUAAAGUGCAGGCUGUCAGCUUUAAUUUGAGGAUAUUUUCAAGUUUCUACUGUCACAAGCUUGAUGUAGUCAUUGCAUGCUAGGAAUAUGAGACCAAAUACUUAACUUUUUACUAUUUUAAUAGUAAUACUUUUGGUCCCCUGAAAUGGUGGGACAAUUAAUUUGAAAAUAUCCUCAAAUUAAAGCUGACAGUCUGCACUUGAACCUCAUAGUCAUUGUAUCAUUUCAAAUCCAAAGUGCUGGAGUACAGAGCCAAAACAUCAACAAAUGUGUUACUGUCCCAAUACUUUUGGAGCUCACUGUUUAUAAAUACUGUAUAUGCAAUUUAUUUUCCACCAACAGGUUUCUGUGCCAAUGCACCAUACAACCAAUAAGCAAAGCAUACCAACUUCGGGCACUUCAACAUCAAGGUUUGCAUUUUCAACACCACAAUCAAAUAGACCAUGUCAAUCUCGACAAACAGAAAAUACUUCCCUCCCUACCUACCUUGUCCCCAAUAUUGAAGGCUUGGCUAUAUGGAGUACCACCGUAUGAGUCAUAAAACCCGGAAAAUGGUUUCAAUCGUUAUUUCACCAUUCAUUUUUCCAUAUGGGAUUUUAGAACUACUGUAUAUAAGGUCUGUGUUUCAUGUAGGUUUACCCUGUCAUUACGUUUUGAUAACCGCGCAAAUAUUUUACUUUUAUCAAUAAUUAGCAUUGCACAUUUUUUUAGAGUAAAUUGAGGUGAAAAUAUUGACAAAACCUACCUUGUCCAAGAGAGAAUUACACGGCUAUCAAAAUGUCACGCCAAGGAAUUGUUAAGCACAGUAUUCAAACCACCCACACUAACUGGAGAUUGAACUGCAAGAAUUGAGGAUUCUGCAGUUCACCAUUGAUAAAUAUGGAUUUAUCAAUGGGUCAAAGACCCCAGCCACCCCAGUAAAGACUGUUCUCUCUACUACUGCAUGGCAAGCAGUACCGGAGUGCCAUGUCUAGGACAAAAAGGCUUCUCAACAGUUUUUACCCCCAAGCCAUAAGACUCCUGAACAGCCCUUACAGAAUUACCCACCAACAACGGACCAAGCAGCGGAGGAAGGAGAAGCGCCAGGAGAGGAGCGUUCAGGAUUCGUGGACUUGGGAGGAAAUCCUGGACGGGAAAGGACCAUGGGCUCAAGAUGGGGAUUAUCGCCGCCCGCAGUGGGAGAUCGAGGCGGCGAGAGCUGAGAGGCGCUGGUAUGAGGAAAGGGAGCGCAGCAGACACGAGAGGCAGCCCCCCAUUUUUUUUGGGGGGGGCACACGGGAGAUUGGCAGAGUCAGGCGGUAGACCUGAGCCAACUCCCUGUGCUUACCGGAAGCAGCGUGGUACUGGUAAGACACCGUGUUAUGCUGUGGAGCGCACGGUGUCCCCAGUGCGCGUUCAAA
RNAcentral lists this long non-coding RNA (2282 nucleotides) under Salmo salar (Atlantic salmon). Its description in RNAcentral is "lncRNA (ENSSSAG00000116909.1, ENSSSAG00000117841.1)". The record is from RNAcentral. Lineage: Eukaryota; Metazoa; Chordata; Actinopteri; Salmoniformes; Salmonidae.